Fukomys damarensis (Damara mole-rat) is the source of this 358-nucleotide unclassified non-coding RNA. Its record names the gene 7SK. It matches the Rfam family "7SK RNA". From Rfam's summary of the family: 7SK was discovered as an abundant small nuclear RNA in the mid-70s but a possible function has only recently been suggested. Two independent studies have found that 7SK RNA binds the CDK9/cyclin T complex (known as elongation factor P-TEFb). Lineage: Eukaryota; Metazoa; Chordata; Mammalia; Rodentia; Bathyergidae. The record is from Ensembl.
GGCUGAGUAGUAUUCCAUUUUAUAGAAAAAUCAUCUGUCACCCUAUUGAUCACCAGGGUUGAUUCGGCUGAUCUGGCUGGCUAGGCGGGUGUCCCCUUCUUCCCUCACCACUCCAUGUGCAUCCCUCCCAAAGCUGCGUGCUCGGUUGAAGAGGUCGACCACCCCCAAUAGAGGAGGACCGUUUCCUCGGUAAAGGGUAUACGAGUAGCUGCACUCCCCUGCUAGACCCUCCAAACAAGUUCCUAUUUUUAGUGAGAAGGUUUUCAAUUUUUGACCAUUUAGUAUGAUGUUGCCUGUUGGUUUUUCACAGAUAGCCUUUAUCAGGUUGAGAUAAAAACCAUGUAUUCCAAUUUUCUCU